RNAcentral lists this long non-coding RNA (695 nucleotides) under Chinchilla lanigera (long-tailed chinchilla). Its description in RNAcentral is "lncRNA (ENSCLAG00000025654.1)". Lineage: Eukaryota; Metazoa; Chordata; Mammalia; Rodentia; Chinchillidae. The record is from RNAcentral.
UGCAGAUUGGCCUUGGGGACAGCCAGGUGGUUCUGAAAUUCCAUUUUAAAGUGAUAGCUGAUAGAUCACUGCAUUUGACCCUCAUUCAUAGCGCCCAAGUCUGUGGCACAGAUGGAUCCUUCACUGCCAGGAUGGUCGGGGCUCAGCCCCGGAUGCCAAGAGCACUCGCUUCACGUCAUGCAAUUGUUCUGAGGGUACGUAAAGGAAGCCAGAGGAGUGUGCUUCAGAAGGCCGGAGAGCGGUGCACUUGCUCUACACAGCUGUAGGUCCAGGUGACACAGGACAUUUUGUACCUUCAUGGAGUUUCAUACACUCAGAGAGAAGGGGAAAAUAAGUCUACACGGACCUGGCCACUGUUGGAUUUUGAAGACCUCAGAGGUAUUGAGUUUUGAAAAGAAGAGCAACAGAUGGCACAGAUAUAUCUGGGAGAAAGGUACAACUGGGGUGAAUUUCACUGCAGAGGAAUUUCUUGACUUGCAUCAGACUCUUUGAAAGAUCCCUGACCAAGGCUUGGAAAUGUACUGCUCCAGGGACCACUGACUCUCCACAACUGAUCAGAGCUGGUAGCUCCCCAGAACUGGGCAUCAUGGUGGUACUGCCUUGAUUCCAAGCAGUUGGAGAAUGUUGACCCUGCCUCUGUGUUCCUGCCUCUCCACUGUUCUGCAAUCCCGGAUCACUUUCUGUGCCUUCUGAAU